AGAGUUUGAUCCUGGCUCAGGAUGAACGCUAGCUACAGGCUUAACACAUGCAAGUCGAGGGGCAGCAUGGUCUUAGCUUGCUAAGACUGAUGGCGACCGGCGCACGGGUGAGUAACGCGUAUCCAACCUUCCCCUUAGUAGGGCAUAGCCCGUAGAAAUGCGGAUUAAUACCCUAUGUUGUAUAUUGAGGACAUCUGAUUUAUACCAAAGGUUCACCGCUAAGGGAUGGGGAUGCGUCUGAUUAGGUAGUCGGCGGGGUAACGGCCCACCGAGCCUACGAUCAGUAGGGGUUCUGAGAGGAAGGUCCCCCACAUUGGAACUGAGCCAUGAUCAAACUCU
This 339-nucleotide ribosomal RNA is filed under the name uncultured Prevotella sp. RNAcentral describes it as "bacterial SSU rRNA". It matches the Rfam family "Bacterial small subunit ribosomal RNA", at positions 8 to 339 of the family's 1533-position model. Lineage: Bacteria; Pseudomonadati; Bacteroidota; Bacteroidia; Bacteroidales; Prevotellaceae. The record is from RNAcentral.